RNAcentral lists this long non-coding RNA (540 nucleotides) under Cricetulus griseus (Chinese hamster). RNAcentral's name for it is "lncRNA (ENSCGRG00015029283.1)". The record is from RNAcentral. Lineage: Eukaryota; Metazoa; Chordata; Mammalia; Rodentia; Cricetidae.
CUGCCUCCAGAUGUCUGGUGCUGCCAUUAACGAGCCCACAAGACCUGCAUUUGGUGCAGACAUUUCACCAGGAUGAUAGGCAAGAAAUUGAGUUAGGGGCUGCUGCAGUGUUCCCAAAGCUGUCCAGCUGUCUCCUCUUAUUUCAGGACCAGGGCAGUCUGGCUUUUUUCUCCAUCUGUGGGGAAAGCUGGACUCGUGGGUGUGAGACCGUGGUUGACUUAGGAAACUGAAACCAUGGACGAAGGAUUGCUGAAACCUCAACUGAGACAACUGCUGGGACAGUUUUGGCUAAAAGCACUGACUAAGGGCCUCGCUCAUCUGUGGACCAAAAGCUGGGAAUAUAGGGUUGUACCACCCUGCCCCAUGUACGGUGUUUGGCAUUGAACCCAGGCCUUCCUGCCUGUUUGGAAGACUCUGAUUUCAGUUGGAAACAACAGUGUGCCCACAUGAAAGACUGAAGCUCUCCCCUGAAGAUAACAGUGGUCAAAAGACAGAGCCCGAGUACAGAUCUCAUGAAAGUUCUUUAAAGGGCAGUGACAG